This 503-nucleotide ribosomal RNA is filed under the name uncultured fungus. Its description in RNAcentral is "partial 18S ribosomal RNA". It matches the Rfam family "Eukaryotic small subunit ribosomal RNA", at positions 37 to 547 of the family's 1831-position model. The record is from RNAcentral. Lineage: Eukaryota; Fungi.
UCAAAGAUUAAGCCAUGCAUGUCUAAGUAUAAGCAAUUAUACAGCGAAACUGCGAAUGGCUCAUUAUAUAAGUUAUCGUUUAUUUGAUAGUACCUUACUACUUGGAUAACCGUGGUAAUUCUAGAGCUAAUACAUGCUAAAAAUCCCGACUUCGGAAGGGAUGUAUUUAUUAGAUUAAAAACCAAUGCCCUCUGGGCUCUUUGGUGAUUCAUGAUAACUUCUCGAAUCGCACGGCCUUGCGCCGGCGAUGGUUCAUUCAAAUUUCUUCCCUAUCAACUUUCGAUGUUUGGGUAUUGGCCAAACAUGGUUGCAACGGGUAACGGAGGGUUAGGGCUCGACCCCGGAGAAGGAGCCUGAGAAACGGCUACUACAUCCAAGGAAGGCAGCAGGCGCGCAAAUNNNCNNNUCCCGACANGGGGAGGNNNUGACAAUAAAUACUGAUACAGGGCUCUUUUGGNUNUUGUAAUUGGAAUGAGUNBAAUUUAAAUCCCUUAACGAGGAAC